AGGCGAACCGGGGGAACUGAAACAUCUAAGUACCCCGAGGAAAAGAAAUCAACCGAGAUUCCCCCAGUAGCGGCGAGCGAACGGGGAGCAGCCCAGAGUCUGAAUCAGCUUGUGUGUUAGUGGAACGGUCUGGAAAGUCCGACGGUACAGGGUGAUAGUCCCGUACACCAAAAUGCACAGGCUGUGAACUCGAAGAGUAGGGCGGGACACGUGGUAUCCUGUCUGAAUAUGGGGGGACCAUCCUCCAAGGCUAAAUACUCCUGACUGACCGAUAGUGAACCAGUACCGUGAGGGAAAGGCGAAAAGAACCCCGGCGAGGGGAGUGAAAAAGAACCUGAAACCGUGUACGUACAAGCAGUGGGAGCACCUUCGGGUGUGACUGCGUACCUUUUGUAUAAUGGGUCAGCGACUUAUAUUCUGUAGCAAGGUUAACCGUAUAGGGGAGCCGCAGGGAAACCGAGUCUUAACUGGGCGUUAAGUUGCAGGGUAUAGACCCGAAACCCGGUGAUCUAGCCAUGGGCAGGUUGAAGGUUGGGUAACACUAACUGGAGGACCGAACCGACUAAUGUUGAAAAAUUAGCGGAUGACUUGUGGCUGGGGGUGAAAGGCCAAUCAAACCGGGAGAUAGCUGGUUCUCCCCGAAAGCU
This 647-nucleotide ribosomal RNA is filed under the name Klebsiella pneumoniae. RNAcentral describes it as "partial 23S ribosomal RNA". It matches the Rfam family "Bacterial large subunit ribosomal RNA", at positions 177 to 867 of the family's 2925-position model. The record is from RNAcentral. Lineage: Bacteria; Pseudomonadati; Pseudomonadota; Gammaproteobacteria; Enterobacterales; Enterobacteriaceae.